This 253-nucleotide ribosomal RNA is filed under the name uncultured bacterium. RNAcentral describes it as "partial 16S ribosomal RNA". It matches the Rfam family "Bacterial small subunit ribosomal RNA", at positions 524 to 776 of the family's 1533-position model. The record is from RNAcentral.
UACGUAGGUGGCGAGCGUUGUCCGGAUUUACUGGGCGUAAAGGGAGCGUAGGCGGACUUUUAAGUGAGAUGUGAAAUACUCGGGCUCAACUUGAGUGCUGCAUUUCAAACUGGAAGUCUAGAGUGCAGGAGAGGAGAAUGGAAUUCCUAGUGUAGCGGUGAAAUGCGUAGAGAUUAGGAAGAACACCAGUGGCGAAGGCGAUUCUCUGGACUGUAACUGACGCUGAGGCUCGCAAGCGUGGGGAGCAAACAGG